Molecule: long non-coding RNA, 590 nt
Filed under: Ananas comosus (pineapple)
Lineage: Eukaryota; Viridiplantae; Streptophyta; Magnoliopsida; Poales; Bromeliaceae
Description: long non-coding RNA (ACOM_LNC011253)
Source: RNAcentral
AUACAUUGUCCUACAAACAUAGUAAAUGACAAAUAUAUAUCACUACAAAGUUCAACUUUUAUAUGAUGUCUUUGCAAAAGUCCUAAUAUUUUCAAAUAUGUCAUUCUGGUUUGUUACCGUUAGAGAAUCGUUAGAGAAUUAUUUAUAUUUUCAAUUUUGUCAUCAUAAAUAUAUACCUCCAAAGUCAUACUAAUAUAAUAUAAAUGGGUAAAAAUGUUAAAAACUAACUAGGGUUAAGUAUUUAACCUAUAGUUAACUAACUUUUUAUAACGGAUUAUAACGGCAGAAACAUAUUUAGAAAUAUUAAAACUUUUGUAGGGACAACAUAUGAAAGUUGAACUUUAUAGGAAUAUAUUUGCUAUUUACUAUGUUUGCAGAAAUAUUUAUGAAAUUAACCCAUUAAAAAUAUUUUUAUUAUACUUUUUUUAAAUAAAAAUAUAUAAUUAACUGGUUGUUAAUGAUGUGGUGUAAGUGAUACAUACAUAAUAAACUAACGAUGAAAAUAUUAGGACUUGAUAAAUCUGACUGCAGAAACUGGUUGUUAAUGGUGUAAGUGAUUUACCUAAUAUAUUUUAAAAUUUGAUAAAGAG